RNAcentral lists this ribosomal RNA (497 nucleotides) under uncultured bacterium. Its description in RNAcentral is "partial 16S ribosomal RNA". It matches the Rfam family "Bacterial small subunit ribosomal RNA", at positions 28 to 507 of the family's 1533-position model. The record is from RNAcentral.
GAUGAACGCUGGCGGCGUGCCUAAUACAUGCAAGUCGAGCGAACGGACGAGAAGCUUGCUUCUCUGAUGUUAGCGGCGGACGGGUGAGUAACACGUGGAUAACCUACCUAUAAGACUGGGAUAACUUCGGGAAACCGGAGCUAAUACCGGAUAAUAUUUUGAACCGCAUGGUUCAAAAGUGAAAGACGGUCUUGCUGUCACUUAUAGAUGGAUCCGCGCUGCAUUAGCUAGUUGGUAAGGUAACGGCUUACCAAGGCAACGAUGCAUAGCCGACCUGAGAGGGUGAUCGGCCACACGGGAACUGAGACACGGUCCAGACUCCUACGGGAGGCAGCAGUAGGGAAUCUUCCGCAAUGGGCGAAAGCCUGACGGAGCAACGCCGCGUGAGUGAUGAAGGUCUUCGGAUCGUAAAACUCUGUUAUUAGGGAAGAACAUGUGUGUAAGUAACUGUGCACAUCUUGACGGUACCUAAUCAGAAAGCCACGGCUAACUACGUG